UACAGAGGUCCCAAGCGUUGUUCGGAUUCAUUGGGCGUAAAGGGUGCGUAGGUGGCGCUGUAAGUCGGGUGUGAAAUUUCGGAGCUUAACUCCGAAACUGCAUUCGAUACUGCGGUGCUCGAGGACUGGAGAGGAGACUGGAAUUCAUGGUGUAGCAGUGAAAUGCGUAGAGAUCAUGAGGAAGACCAGUGGCGAAGGCGGGUCUCUGGACAGUUCCUGACGCUGAGAAGCGAAAGCGUGGGGAGCGAACAGG
This 253-nucleotide ribosomal RNA is filed under the name uncultured bacterium. RNAcentral's name for it is "partial 16S ribosomal RNA". It matches the Rfam family "Bacterial small subunit ribosomal RNA", at positions 524 to 776 of the family's 1533-position model. The record is from RNAcentral.